This is a microRNA precursor of Gorilla gorilla gorilla (western lowland gorilla), 61 nucleotides long. The record is from Ensembl. NCBI's taxonomy places the organism in Eukaryota, Metazoa, Chordata, Mammalia, Primates, Hominidae.
CACUGUAGGUGGUGCCGGAGGAGUCAUUUCCCAUCACUAAUGGCUUCUCUUGCACACCCAG